Molecule: ribosomal RNA, 639 nt
Filed under: uncultured bacterium
Lineage: Bacteria
Description: bacterial SSU rRNA
Rfam family: Bacterial small subunit ribosomal RNA
Source: RNAcentral
AGAGUUUGAUCCUGGCUCAGAUUGAACGCUGGCGGCAGGCCUAACACAUGCAAGUCGAGCGGGGUUUUCGGACCUAGCGGCGGACGGGUGAGUAAUGCGUAGGAAGCUACCCGAUAGAGGGGGAUACCAGUUGGAAACGACUGUUAAUACCGCAUAAUGUCUACGGACCAAAGUGUGGGACCUUCGGGCCACAUGCUAUCGGAUGCGCCUACGUGGGAUUAGCUAGUUGGUGGGGUAAUGGCUCACCAAGGCGACGAUCCCUAGCUGGUUUGAGAGGAUGAUCAGCCACACUGGAACUGAGACACGGUUCAGACUCCUACGGGAGGCAGCAGUGGGGAAUAUUGGACAAUGGGCGCAAGCCUGAUCCAGCCAUGCCGCGUGUGUGAAGAAGGCCUUCGGGUUGUAAAGCACUUUCAGCGAGGAGGAAGGGAGUUGUGUUAAUAGUACAGCUUCUUGACGUUACUCGCAGAAGAAGCACCGGCUAACUCUGUGCCAGCAGCCGCGGUAAUACAGAGGGUGCAAGCGUUAAUCGGAAUUACUGGGCGUAAAGCGCACGUAGGCGGUUUUUUAAGUCAGAUGUGAAAGCCCCGGGCUCAACCUGGGAAUUGCAUUUGAAACUGGAAAACUAGAGUGUGUGAG